CAGCCGCCGCGGUAAUACGUAGGGUGCAAGCGUUAAUCGGAAUUACUGGGCGUAAAGCGUGCGCAGGCGGUUAUGUAAGACAGUUGUGAAAUCCCCGGGCUCAACCUGGGAACUGCAUCUGUGACUGCAUAGCUAGAGUACGGUAGAGGGGGAUGGAAUUCCGCGUGUAGCAGUGAAAUGCGUAGAUAUGCGGAGGAACACCGAUGGCGAAGGCAAUCCCCUGGACCUGUACUGACGCUCAUGCACGAAAGCGUGGGGAGCAAACAGGAUUAGAUACCCCCGUAGUCCCUGUCUCUUAUAC
This 301-nucleotide ribosomal RNA is filed under the name uncultured bacterium. Its description in RNAcentral is "partial 16S ribosomal RNA". It matches the Rfam family "Bacterial small subunit ribosomal RNA", at positions 509 to 807 of the family's 1533-position model. The record is from RNAcentral.